CGGUACUCAGAGAGUUUCGAUCCUGGCUCAGGAUGAACGCUGCGGCGUGCCUAACACAUGCAAGUCGAACGGAGCUAUUUAGGAACUUCCUUCGGGGAGCGGAAUCUUUAGCUUAGUGGCGGACGGGUGAGUAACGCGUGAGCAAUCUGCCUUUGGGAUGGGGGAUAACAGCCGGAAACGGCUGCUAAUACCGCAUAAUGCAACGGGAUCGCAUGGUCCUGCUGCCAAAGAUUUAUUGUCCAAAGAUGAGCUCGCGUCUGAUUAGCCAGUUGGCGGGUAACGGCCCACCAAAGCGACGAUCAGUAGCCGGACUGAGAGGUUGAACGGCCACAUUGGGACUGAGACACGGCCCAGACUCCUACGGGAGGCAGCAGUGGGGAAUAUUGCGCAAUGGGGGAACCCUGACGCAGCAACGCCGCGUGAUUGAAGAAGGCCUUCGGGUUGUAAAGAUCUUUAAUCGGGGACGAAACAUGACGGUACCCGAGGAAUAAGCUCCGGCUAACUACGUG
This 509-nucleotide ribosomal RNA is filed under the name uncultured Butyricicoccus sp. RNAcentral describes it as "bacterial SSU rRNA". It matches the Rfam family "Bacterial small subunit ribosomal RNA", at positions 1 to 507 of the family's 1533-position model. Lineage: Bacteria; Bacillati; Bacillota; Clostridia; Eubacteriales; Butyricicoccaceae. The record is from RNAcentral.